Molecule: transfer RNA, 76 nt
Filed under: Candidatus Riesia sp.
Lineage: Bacteria; Pseudomonadati; Pseudomonadota; Gammaproteobacteria; Enterobacterales; Enterobacteriaceae
Description: tRNA-Ile
Rfam family: tRNA
About the family: Transfer RNA (tRNA) molecules are approximately 80 nucleotides in length. Their secondary structure includes four short double-helical elements and three loops (D, anti-codon, and T loops).
Source: RNAcentral
UGCCUAAUAGCUCAGUUGGUAGAGCGGUAAAUUGAUAAAUUAUUGGUCCGUGGUUCGAGCCCACGUUAGGCAGCCA